This 269-nucleotide ribosomal RNA is filed under the name uncultured bacterium. Its description in RNAcentral is "partial 16S ribosomal RNA". It matches the Rfam family "Bacterial small subunit ribosomal RNA", at positions 524 to 776 of the family's 1533-position model. The record is from RNAcentral.
UACGGAGGGUGCGAGCGUUGUCCGGAAUCACUGGGCGUAAAGGGCGCGUAGGCGGCAUGCCAAGCGUGUGGUGAAAGCCCGGGGCUCAACCCCGGGUCGGCCGUGCGGACUGGCGUGCUCGAGCACUGUAGGGGCGGGUGGAAUUCCGGGUGUAGCGGUGGAAUGCGUAGAGAGCCGGAAGAACACCGGUGGCGAAGGCGGCCCGCUGGGCAGGAAGGCUCGCAAGAGCCGGCUGACGCUGAGGCGCGACAGCGUGGGGAGCAAACAGG